GACUUCGGUCUGGUGGCGAGUGGCGAACGGGUGAGUAAUGUAUCGGAACGUGCCUAGUAUCGGGGGAUAACUACGCGAAAGCGUACCUAAUACCGCAUACGCCCUACGGGGGAAAGCAGGGGAUCGUAAGACCUUGCACUAUUAAAGCGGCCGAUAUCGGAUUAGCUAGUUGGUGGGGUAACGGCUCACCAAGGCGACGAUCCGUAGCUGGUUUGAGAGGACGACCAGCCACACUGGGACUGAGACACGGCCCAGACUCCUACGGGAGGCAGCAGUGGGGAAUUUUGGACAAUGGGGGAAACCCUGAUCCAGCCAUCCCGCGUGUGCGAUGAAGGCCUUCGGGUUGUAAAGCACUUUUGGCAGGAAAGAAACGUCAUGGGCUAAUACCCCGUGAAACUGACGGUACCUGCAGAAUAAGCACCGGCUAACUACGUGCCAGCAGCCGCGGUAAUACGUAGGGUGCAAGCGUUAAUCGGAAUUACUGGGCGUAAAGCGUGCGCAGGCGGUUCGGAAAGAAAGAUGUGAAAUCCCAGAGCUUAACUUUGGAACUGCAUUUUUAACUACCGAGCU
RNAcentral lists this ribosomal RNA (570 nucleotides) under bacterium RBM-E30. Its description in RNAcentral is "bacterial SSU rRNA". It matches the Rfam family "Bacterial small subunit ribosomal RNA", at positions 76 to 642 of the family's 1533-position model. The record is from RNAcentral.